AAGUCGUAACAAGGUUUCCGUAGGUGAACCUGCGGAAGGAUCAUUAUUACGAAAUCAAAAAUCGUAACCCCAAACAACAAAUUGUGCAUUUCUGUACUGUUCCGGUAGUUUCAUUUGACCUUUGUAAAGGCUUACUUUGAUGUGCUUGCUUCAAAAACAUGCAUAUUCAAAGCACUUCUGAGCAGAUGAAGUGAACGGGUCUUUUUCGUCGAAUGAUUUCAAACUCCCGGUUAGUAUUAUCUGCUCACACACUUAACAAACCAUUAACCCCAUGUAACUAUUUUGAACUAAAUACAUCUGACGCAUGCAUCUCAUGUAUGUGUCUGAAUCAAAACCGAACUUAAGAACAACUCUUAACAACGGAUAUCUUGGUUCUC
RNAcentral lists this unclassified non-coding RNA (377 nucleotides) under fungal sp. RNAcentral describes it as "partial internal transcribed spacer region". The stretch from base 1 to 46 matches the Rfam family "Eukaryotic small subunit ribosomal RNA", at positions 1786 to 1831 of the family's 1831-position model. Lineage: Eukaryota; Fungi. The record is from RNAcentral.